This 490-nucleotide ribosomal RNA is filed under the name uncultured bacterium. RNAcentral's name for it is "bacterial SSU rRNA". It matches the Rfam family "Bacterial small subunit ribosomal RNA", at positions 33 to 507 of the family's 1533-position model. The record is from RNAcentral.
AACGACGCUGGCGGCGCGUCUUAAGCAUGCAAGUCGAGCGGUAUGGAGAAGCUUGCUUCUCCAGAGAGCGGCGGACUGGUGAGUAACACGUGGGUGACCUACCCUUAGGAUGGGGAUAGCCACUAGAAAUAGUGGGUAAUACCGAAUGUGGUUGCGAGACUGUGGUCUUGCAAAGAAAGGAGCUACGGCUCCGCCUGAGGAUGGGCCCGCGUCCCAUUAGCUAGUUGGUGAGGUAACGGCCCACCAAGGCGAUGAUGGGUAGCCGGCCUGAGAGGGUGAACGGCCACACUGGGACUGAGAUACGGCCCAGACUCCUACGGGAGGCAGCAGCUAAGAAUAUUCCGCAAUGGACGAAAGUCUGACGGAGCGACGCCGCGUGGAUGAAGAAGGCCGAAAGGUUGUAAAAUCCUUUUGUCGAUGAAGAAUAAGCAUGGGAGGGAAUGCCCGUGUGAUGACGUUAGUCGGCGAAUAAGCCCCGGCUAAUUACGUG